UCCAAUUUUCUGUGGAAUGGCCAG
RNAcentral lists this unclassified non-coding RNA (24 nucleotides) under Mus musculus (house mouse). RNAcentral describes it as "oocyte_clustered_small_RNA450". Lineage: Eukaryota; Metazoa; Chordata; Mammalia; Rodentia; Muridae. The record is from RNAcentral.